ACGUUAGCGGCGGACGGGUGAGUAACACGUGGGUAACCUACCUAUAAGACUGGGAUAACUUCGGGAAACCGGAGCUAAUACCGGAUAAUACUUCGAACCGCAUGGUUCGAUAGUGAAAGAUGGUUUUGCUAUCACUUAUAGAUGGACCCGCGCCGUAUUAGCUAGUUGGUAAGGUAACGGCUUACCAAGGCGACGAUACGUAGCCGACCUGAGAGGGUGAUCGGCCACACUGGAACUGAGACACGGUCCAGACUCCUACGGGAGGCAGCAGGC
RNAcentral lists this ribosomal RNA (273 nucleotides) under uncultured Staphylococcus sp. RNAcentral describes it as "partial 16S ribosomal RNA". It matches the Rfam family "Bacterial small subunit ribosomal RNA", at positions 89 to 354 of the family's 1533-position model. The record is from RNAcentral. Lineage: Bacteria; Bacillati; Bacillota; Bacilli; Caryophanales; Staphylococcaceae.